This 64-nucleotide transfer RNA is filed under the name Nesophrosyne sp. 242 GMB-2012. RNAcentral describes it as "tRNA-Gly". Lineage: Eukaryota; Metazoa; Arthropoda; Insecta; Hemiptera; Cicadellidae. The record is from RNAcentral.
AUUCAAUUAGUAUAUAAAGUAUAUUAAGCUUCCAACUUAAAGGAUAAGAAAAAUUAAUUGAAUA